This 1674-nucleotide long non-coding RNA is filed under the name Homo sapiens (human). Its description in RNAcentral is "RGPD4 divergent transcript (RGPD4-DT)". Lineage: Eukaryota; Metazoa; Chordata; Mammalia; Primates; Hominidae. The record is from RNAcentral.
UGGCUCACGCCUGUAAUCCCAACACUUUGGGAGGCUGAGGCGGGCGGAUCACUUGAGGUCAAGAGUUCAAGACCAGCCUGGCCAACAUGAUUCUACUCUAAAAGUCACCAGGAAAAAUUCAGCUCCACUGGUCCUGGCUCUAAGUCUACUAGCAAAAUCUUCCAGAGAAGUGGAAAAGCCAUCAGCCAAUGUGUUAGACUAUCAUUUCCAUGACCUUACACCUAUCAAAAAGGCACUAUUACCAGGCUUAUAGAAUUCUAAAAAAGUUGGAAACCAUUUUCCAUUAUAAAAGAAAUUCUUCCAAAUCACACAAAACACUCUGACACUUCUCCAAUUCCCCCUAUCAUGGGGCUGGCAGCAGCCGCUUUGCGUCCUGAAUGUCAUGACAGUGAUGAUAACAGUAAUGAUGAUAACAGCAAUGAUGAAGUCUCACAUUUAAAAUUUUCAAGUCACUCAUCACAUCCCAAGUCACUCCCUUCAUUACCUUUUAUUUAUACUGGAGUCAUCCUGUGUGCCUCAGUCAGACCAUUUUGUAUGUACAAUGACCGACAAUGAGAUUUAACAUGCAGUUUGCAGAUCCUCCCUUCUCUGGGUCACCUGAAAAUAAGCCACAAACAAAGGAAUGAAAUUGUUGAUGAAAAGGGAAGAGGCAAGACUCCAUAUGAAGAAUACAACUGACUCACCUGUCUGUACAUGCCUCUGUGUGUGUGUUUUAUAUUGGUGCUGGUGAAGAUAGUUCUUUAUGCUGAUGCUUAAUAAGGUGAAAUGUGUCUAUUUUCUUCCAUUGGCCCAGGCACAGAUGCGAUUAUAAUUGCUAAGAUUAUUUGCAUAUUGGCUUUUAAUGAUGCAUUUAAAAAUAUUCAUCCCAUUUACUGACUUAUGCAGGCAAUGUACUUUUGUAAAUGUGGGCCAGCAUCAUGCUUAAAUUCCCAAACCACUAUUUAUUUAAAACUCAUCACUUCAGUUUUUAUACCCUUUCUCCCCCAUAAGGGAAAAAAUAUGAUUCUGACUGUAUAAGCACCAACUAAACAGAACACAAAACAUGGCAGACGAUAAAAACAUAUUUUCACAAAUGAGACAUGUCAUUUUACCAUCGAGGAGAGAAACAAAAUAAGCUGGUUUUCAAGUUCCAUAUCUUGUGUGCUCCUUUCAGCUAAAUGCCCUUACAUCUGUAAGCCCUUGGGACAGGUUAAGGCUUUUAUUAUUAUUUUAAAGUCUUCAUAACUACAACCUAGCAUCCAAAGUGAAACAGAUGCUAUUGGAUAUGAGUAGCAUAUGCAAUGGAAAUAUUGACAUUGCCUUCCCGACAGUCAUGAGGGAUAGACCAUAGGCUUUUUGGUAACCUAUAUUUUCUAGGCCCAAAGCAGGGAAUGAGAUGGCAGGGAAAUUCAGGGUAAACUCCAAAUUUACAUAAAGUUAUAGAAGAAUAUAGAUCAUGAGUAGUGGCUAGCACCUUCCUGACUUCCAGAAAAUGGUGGUGCCGAUAUUGAACAACAGUUUGGAGAAAAUGUAAAAUGUUUACAUUUACAUUUACAGUUUAGUCUUUGAACAACAGUUUGGAGAAAAUGUAAAAUGAAAAUUUGUUAACGAACUUGUUUUUAAAAAGCACCUAGACUCCAUAUAAGAGUACUUGUCCUAUGUUAUUUUCAUAAACUACAUUUGUGAUUGUAAAAA